AGCGAACGCUGGCGGCAGGCCUAACACAUGCAAGUCGAACGAACUCUUCGGAGUUAGUGGCGGACGGGUGAGUAACACGUGGGAACGUGCCUUUUGGUUCGGAAUAACUCAGGGAAACUUGUGCUAAUACCGAAUGUGCCCUUCGGGGGAAAGAUUUAUCGCCAUUAGAGCGGCCCGCGUCUGAUUAGCUAGUUGGUGAGGUAACGGCUCACCAAGGCGACGAUCAGUAGCUGGUCUGAGAGGAUGACCAGCCACACUGGGACUGAGACACGGCCCAGACUCCUACGGGAGGCAGCAGUGGGGAAUCUUGCGCAAUGGGCGAAAGCCUGACGCAGCCAUGCCGCGUGAAUGAUGAAGGUCUUAGGAUUGUAAAAUUCUUUCACCGGGGACGAUAAUGACGGUACCCGGAGAAGAAGCCCCGGCUAACUUC
RNAcentral lists this ribosomal RNA (430 nucleotides) under uncultured bacterium. RNAcentral describes it as "partial 16S ribosomal RNA". It matches the Rfam family "Bacterial small subunit ribosomal RNA", at positions 29 to 504 of the family's 1533-position model. The record is from RNAcentral.